UGGACAUGGCGUUGUAUUUGAAGGAGCACAGUUACAAGGAACCAUCAAACUAAAUUGAUAGUACUCCUCCCAUAAACCUUUGAUUGUGGUGAAGUUUUGCUUUACUAACAAUGAGCCUUGUGUGUAUCUACGUGUCUCGUCUUAUAGAUUAAGCUCCUGCCAGAGCAUUUGAGCAGCACUGCGUCGGAUCUCCGGUUGAGAGCACUGCGUAAGAUAUCCGGAUAGAGAGAGUUGGCGAUCUAACACAACACCAUACUAUUGCAAUCGUCCCACAAGGCAUAGCAAUUAUUUUUUACUAGAGGGGCAGUUAAAGGAGUCAAACCGGAAACAUGAUCAUCUCCAGCUCCAACUAACAUACUUUCCCUUCAAGAGUGUAUGAAACAAACACUGAAAUCUCCAGGAGACGUAAGAGGAUCUCAUCUGGAUCAUGGAGUUGGAAAUGGUUCUAAUUUUCCAUUGGCUUUGUUGCUAGUAUAGGGUAUAAAUACAAAUUGAGAAUACGGGAAAAACACAUUGAAUAUAAC
Molecule: long non-coding RNA, 524 nt
Filed under: Linum usitatissimum (flax)
Lineage: Eukaryota; Viridiplantae; Streptophyta; Magnoliopsida; Malpighiales; Linaceae
Description: long non-coding RNA (LUSI_LNC002933)
Source: RNAcentral